AUGACGGUGGCCGGCGGUGCGGGUGUCGUCGGUGUCGCCGACGUGAUCGGUGUGGUCGCGGCGGAGCCGACGGUCGCCCCCGGCGCCGUUACC
RNAcentral lists this transfer RNA (93 nucleotides) under freshwater metagenome. Its description in RNAcentral is "tRNA-Asp". The record is from RNAcentral.